Molecule: ribosomal RNA, 427 nt
Filed under: Planctomycetaceae bacterium
Lineage: Bacteria; Pseudomonadati; Planctomycetota; Planctomycetia; Planctomycetales; Planctomycetaceae
Description: bacterial SSU rRNA
Rfam family: Bacterial small subunit ribosomal RNA
Source: RNAcentral
UCAAUUGAAGGGUUUGAUCCUGGCUCAGAAUGAACGUUGGCGGCGUGGAUUAGGCAUGCAAGUCGAGCGAUGAAGCAGUGCUUGCACUGUGGAUUAGCGGCGAAAGGGAGAGUAACGCGUAGAUACGUACCCUUCGGUCUGGAAUAGCUACGGGAAACUGUAGGUAAUUCCAGAUAACGUCUCCGGACCAAAGAUUUAUUGCCGGAGGAGCGGUCUGCGUCCUAUUAGGUUGUUGGUGUGGUAAUGGCGCACCAAGCCAAAGAUGGGUACCGGGUGUGAGAGCAUGGCCCGGCUCACUGGGACUGAGACACUGCCCAGACAUCUACGGAUGGCUGCAGUCGAGAAUCUUCCGCAAUGGACGAAAGUCUGACGGAGCGACGCCGCGUGCGGGAUGAAGGCCUUCGGGUUGUAAACCGCUGUCAGAGGG